GCACACAGGUUUGUCGCAACCUACGCAAUA
Molecule: non-coding RNA, 30 nt
Filed under: Bombyx mori (domestic silkworm)
Lineage: Eukaryota; Metazoa; Arthropoda; Insecta; Lepidoptera; Bombycidae
Source: RNAcentral